Long non-coding RNA from Astatotilapia calliptera (eastern happy), 1035 nucleotides. The record is from Ensembl. NCBI's taxonomy places the organism in Eukaryota, Metazoa, Chordata, Actinopteri, Cichliformes, Cichlidae.
CCGUUAAUGACGGACUUUAAAAGCGGAGGGAGAACAAGGAAAUCAAGAGAAGUGAUGCAACUGUAGUGAGAUCACCGACUGCGUCUGGGCGCACGGAAUGCAAAUACAAAGCGCAAGGUCAGCUGCUGUUACCUGCUGGUCCCCAGUUCUUUGGAUGAAGGCAGUCAAUGGAGGAAACAGAGUGUGUCAACAGCAAGUGUUGACAUUUGGCUUAGGAGAUAAACCUCACAGGGGAUCAAACAAAGACUGGCUCUUUUGAGUGGAGAAAGGAGUGUGUGUGUGUGAGUGUGCGUGCACGCAUAUGUUUGUGUAAAGAUGUUUCAAUGUUGCAAGAUUUCUGCUGACGUCCUGAAGCCGAAGGACGCUGAUAAUUGUCUGAGGGCUUUGGUUAUCUCCAUGUCAAAAGGCUGAGUGAACUUAAAAGUGAGAUGAGGUGCACAACACACAUGCAAAGAUGUUUUAAUUAUUCAUAGCUUCACAAAAAAGAAAAAAUACAAGAGAUAUAAAGUAAAGAGAAUAUUUUCUGACACGACUGGCAUCUAUGUGCUCAAACACAAAGUCCCACAAAAACACACGCUGUAACAAGUGUGCCGAUGUGAAAGAAUUUUUGACUCUUUCACAGCAGAAUGAGAAAAAUGUAAAGAUCAUAGAAAGGUUCAUUUCUAAAUGACACUUAAAAGGAGGAAGACUCUUCCAAUGGUUGAAUAAAGAAUGGGCAGCAUUAUUUCUCCCCUACAGAAAAGCUGCCGUGUCAAUAAACCUGUCUAGAGACCAGCAUUAGUACAGAUACAUAUCAAUAUGCUCGUUGCUACAGGGAAUGCAGUGUUACAGGUUAUUCACAUGAUUCCAGGAUGUCUUUCAAAUUUCAUCUAAAAAGUGCAUCACAGAUCCUUCAUUAAUGCCUCUAUAUUUCUGAUUUUAACCCUGUUUAAAUUAGCCUGUAGGUUUAAAUGCUCAAAACCAAAAACUUUUGUCUUUUUCCUGCUGAAAAAAAAAGCCAGUGGUCUGACUAAGGAGCUUGGCUCUUCUUACACA